CGUCAUCAUCAUAAGCAGGAACCCAAGUGUCCUUUCCUUGAAGAAUCUCAACAAGAGCAAAUGUACCCUCAGUCAUGAGAUCAUUUCUGGGGCAUGCUGACCAAAACGAAACAGUGACAAGUUCACCCCUCUUGAAGGCGGAGCUUUGAGGAACAUCGGUAAUUAAAUCCCCAAAUUUGGAACCAAGUGGUGUUGCAUCCAUUACAACUGGCGGCAACAAGCCUAUCUGCUUUCCUAGUAAAUUAGGGGCGAAACAGUGACAAGUUCAUCCCUCUUGAAGGCGGAGCUUUGAGGAACAUCGGUAAUUAAAUCCCCAAAUUUGGAACCAAGUGGUGUCGCAUCCAUUACAACUGGCGGCAACAAGCCUAUCUGCUUUCCUAGCAAAUUAGGGGGUUGAGGGCCUGCUUGCAAGGUCUGUCCUGUGAUGAGAGCAGCAGCUAGAGUCUUGAACUGUUGGAUGUAACCGCUAAGUGUAUGUGGACCAUACAGUGUAGACGCACC
Molecule: long non-coding RNA, 501 nt
Filed under: Nicotiana benthamiana
Lineage: Eukaryota; Viridiplantae; Streptophyta; Magnoliopsida; Solanales; Solanaceae
Description: long non-coding RNA (NBEN_LNC014475)
Source: RNAcentral